This 23-nucleotide small nuclear RNA is filed under the name Arabidopsis thaliana (thale cress). RNAcentral describes it as "snRNA_15877". The record is from RNAcentral. Lineage: Eukaryota; Viridiplantae; Streptophyta; Magnoliopsida; Brassicales; Brassicaceae.
ACGGUUUUGAAAGUUAGUAACUC